GUCUGUGGCCAUACCACCCUGAACGCGCCCGAUCUCAUCUGAUAAUUCAGCAGGUAUGAAGUGCUGCCAAUCUCGCUGUUCCAAGCAUGAUGAAAUCGCUGCAGAAU
Molecule: ribosomal RNA, 107 nt
Organism: Ochotona princeps (American pika)
Lineage: Eukaryota; Metazoa; Chordata; Mammalia; Lagomorpha; Ochotonidae
Source: Ensembl